This 752-nucleotide ribosomal RNA is filed under the name uncultured Lactobacillus sp. RNAcentral's name for it is "bacterial SSU rRNA". It matches the Rfam family "Bacterial small subunit ribosomal RNA", at positions 80 to 818 of the family's 1533-position model. Lineage: Bacteria; Bacillati; Bacillota; Bacilli; Lactobacillales; Lactobacillaceae. The record is from RNAcentral.
UUUAAUUUUGAACGAGUGGCGGACGGGUGAGUAACACGUGGGUAACCUGCCCUUAAGUGGGGGAUAACAUUUGGAAACAGAUGCUAAUACCGCAUAAAUCCAAGAACCGCAUGGUUCUUGGCUGAAAGAUGGCGUAAGCUAUCGCUUUUGGAUGGACCCGCGGCGUAUUAGCUAGUUGGUGAGGUAACGGCUCACCAAGGCAAUGAUACGUAGCCGAACUGAGAGGUCGAUCGGCCACAUUGGGACUGAGACACGGCCCAAACUCCUACGGGAGGCAGCAGUAGGGAAUCUUCCACAAUGGACGCAAGUCUGAUGGAGCAACGCCGCGUGAGUGAAGAAGGCUUUCGGGUCGUAAAACUCUGUUGUUGGAGAAGAAUGGUCGGCAGAGUAACUGUUGUCGGCGUGACGGUAUCCAACCAGAAAGCCACGGCUAACUACGUGCCAGCAGCCGCGGUAAUACGUAGGUGGCAAGCGUUAUCCGGAUUUAUUGGGCGUAAAGCGAGCGCAGGCGGUUUUUUAAGUCUGAUGUGAAAGCCCUCGGCUUAACCGAGGAAGUGCAUCGGAAACUGGAAAACUUGAGUGCAGAAGAGGACAGUGGAACUCCAUGUGUAGCGGUGAAAUGCGUAGAUAUAUGGAAGAACACCAGUGGCGAAGGCGGCUGUCUGGUCUGUAACUGACGCUGAGGCUCGAAAGCAUGGGUAGCGAACAGGAUUAGAUACCCUGGUAGUCCAUGCCGUAAACGAUGAAUGCUA